This 858-nucleotide ribosomal RNA is filed under the name Triticum aestivum (bread wheat). RNAcentral describes it as "partial small subunit ribosomal RNA". Lineage: Eukaryota; Viridiplantae; Streptophyta; Magnoliopsida; Poales; Poaceae. The record is from RNAcentral.
AUGUGGCGCCAACGAUCAAGAAUAUCCAAGAUCAAAGCAAGCGAUGCUUCCUGCAAAUUAUUCCACCUAAGAGCGAAUGGUCGAAGAAGGAAGAACCAUAUUCCUGUCCUUCGACGUGAGAAUGGUGAUGUUAAUGAGCACAAGCUCAAGGAGGAACUCCUUUUCAAUCACUUCAAAUCUCUGUUGGGGACGUCUGGUGCUGAGAGGAAGGUGAUCAACUGGAGCCUUCUACCACAUCCUUCAGCUAACCUGCAGCACCUGGAGUUGCCUUUCUCGGAAGAAGAAAUUAAGGUGGCUAUCUUCGACUUGCUGGAUGAGAAAGCCCCAGGUCCAGACGGUUUUAUAGGGAAAUUCUUCAAAAGAUUAUGGCUACUAAUCAAGGACGACCUGGUGGCUGCGGUGCACCAAUUUUUUUGCCUUCGGGGAGCCAACUUGAACCUUCUGAACUCUGCAAACAUUGUCUUGCUCCCCAAGGUUGAGGUUGCUGCUUCGGCCAAUGAUUUCAGGCCUAUCAGCUUGCUGCACAGCUUUGCCAAGAUUAUAUGCAAAUUGUUAGCUAAUAGGUUGGGGCCGAACCUGCAGCAUCUGAUUUCUUGCACCCAAAGUGCUUUCAUCCGAGGAAGAUCUAUCCAAGAUAAUUUCCUUUAUGUCCAAAAUACAAUCAAAGAUGCUCACAAGAGGAAUAUCCCUUUGGUCUUCCUGAAACUUGAUUUCGCCAAGGCGUUUGACUCUGUGGGAUGGCCAUAUCUUCUGGAUGUAAUGGAGGCUUAUGGUUUUGGGCAGAGGUGGAGAAACAUUAUCAGUUUGCUGCUUGCCACAUCCUCUUCACAGGUGCUUUUUUUUAGAACGAAGGCUUAA